GAUGUAUAUAUAGCUGACUGUUGAUAGAAUCAUCAGCGGUAACGCAAUUGGCGCUUCAUUCUCUCUUUACAUAAUUACAGAAUUUUGUAAAAGUUUUAAAGAUUAGUCGAUUUCUUGAAGGUGGGGUUUUGUAUAGAUUGAUGAAUAGUAAUAUAUAAGAGAAAAGAGGAAAUUUUGAGAGGUGGGUAAUGAUGAGAAAGCAAGAAGAUAUAGAAAAUGAAGGAGUUGGGGUAAUGGUAAUGGAAGAUGGGAAGGAUUUAGAGAGGAAUAUUUCAUCUGAGGGUGGUUUUAGAGAGCCAUUGCUUAAAUCAAAGAGUAGAGUCAAUAAUACAUCACAAAUUGCUAUUAUUGGAGCCAAUGUUUGCCCUAUUGAGAGUCUUGAUUAUGACAUUGUUGAAAAUGACCUAUUCAAGCAAGAUUGGAGAUCAAGGAAAAAGGUCCAGAUAUAUCAAUAUAUAUUCCUUAAGUGGACACUCGUGCUUCUUAUUGGAUUGUUUACAGGACUUGUUGGUUUCUUUUUAAACAUAGCAGUGGAAAAUAUUGCUGGCUUUAAGCUUCUGCUUGCUAGUGAUUUAAUGCUCGAGGAUAAGUAUUUCCGUGCAUUUGCUAUUUUUGCAGGUUGCAAUUUGGGUCUUGCAACUUGUGCUGCCAUCCUAUGUGCAUGUAUUGCACCUGCAGCUGCAGGGUCAGGAAUUCCUGAAGUUAAAGCAUAUUUGAAUGGUGUGGAUGCUCAUUCCAUUUUAGCUCCUAGUACUUUAUUUGUAAAGAUAAUUGGUUCUGUUUUGGGUGUUUCUGCUGGAUUUGUUGUUGGUAAGGAAGGACCCAUGGUCCACACUGGCGCUUGCAUAGCUAACUUACUUGGGCAGGGCGGCUCCCGCAAAUAUCAUCUGACGUGGAAGUGGCUGAGGUAUUUUAAAAAUGACCGUGACCGCAGAGAUUUGAUCACUUGUGGUGCUGCAGCUGGUGUUGCAGCCGCUUUCCGUGCUCCAGUUGGUGGUGUUCUUUUUGCUCUCGAAGAAGUAGCCUCAUGGUGGCGAAGUGCUCUACUUUGGAGGACUUUCUUCACAA
Molecule: unclassified non-coding RNA, 1068 nt
Filed under: Hevea brasiliensis (rubber tree)
Lineage: Eukaryota; Viridiplantae; Streptophyta; Magnoliopsida; Malpighiales; Euphorbiaceae
Source: RNAcentral